GUGAUUUUAUCUCAGAGGCUGGUGAGAGGUUGGUGGGAACGGUUUCUUAACCUGAGAAAAAGAAAAAAAUGGAGAGCAUAGUUAGAAGUUUUGCAGAGACACUUUAUUACUUCGCAUCCCUUCAUGUUUAUAUCAAGAUGAAAAUUUUCAUGUGGGAGUUACUGAUGAUAAAUUUCAGAAGCCAUGGACAAGAGGAAAGCAAUUACUGGAAUGAUGAUCUGAUUCAUUAUGAAUUUGAGGAAGUUGGUCCAAGUUCAAACCAGACUCCCAAAUUGAAGUAGAAGAAGCCAGCUUAUACACCCAAAAGGACUAUAGUGAAGUCUUUACAUUUGUCAGCUGUUUAGAGAAGUGGCCAGUAUUUCAAGCACAGAACCAAGUUUGCUAAUGCUGCCAGAAUGCAAAACACCAGAGAUGGACUGGCUUUUAUAAAA
This is a long non-coding RNA of Choloepus didactylus (southern two-toed sloth), 431 nucleotides long. RefSeq lists it as uncharacterized. The transcript has 4 exons. NCBI's taxonomy places the organism in Eukaryota, Metazoa, Chordata, Mammalia, Pilosa, Megalonychidae. The record is from RefSeq and is a predicted model, not a curated record.